This is a long non-coding RNA of Bos taurus (domestic cattle), 1965 nucleotides long. The record is from Ensembl. Lineage: Eukaryota; Metazoa; Chordata; Mammalia; Artiodactyla; Bovidae.
AGGAUUAAGAUGUUAGCAACUGUGAAACAGAAGGGAGAAGACAGGAAGGAGACUUUAUUAAGGAUGAAAAAUGGCUGCGAUUUUGAAAACAGUCUUGUUGACAGAAUGGUUGCUGAGAGAUUUAGAACCAAUAGACCCUAUAGAACCACCUAUCUUUAUCCAUGAUGCUGCCAGAUCUUACCUUCACUGAGUCAAGAAUGAGCAGAGAUGUCUAUAGGAUGGAUAUGUGUGUGUUGGAACAGACAGUAUAAAACUCAAGUUCUAUAUUACUUCCUCUCCUUAGUGUCAACUCAGUCCUCAUCACUAAUCUGAGUUAAACCAGUGGAAGCAGUGACAGAUUUUAUUUUCUUGGGCUCCAAAGUCACUGCAGAUGCUGACUGCAGCCAUGAAAUUAAAAGACGCUUGUUCCUUGGAAGGAAAGCUAUGACAAACCUAGAAAGCAUAUUAAAAAGCAAAGACACCACCCCACUUACAAAGGUCCAUAUAGUCAAAGCUAUGGUUUUUCUGGCAGUUUUGUAUGGACAUGAGAGUUGGACCAUAAAGAAGGCCAAGCACCAAAGAACUGAUGCUUUUGAACUGUGGUGCUGGGAAGACCCUUGAGAAUCCCUUGGACAGCAAGGAGAUCAAAUCAGUCAAUCCCAAAGGAAAUCAACCCUCAAUAUUCAUUGGAGGGGCUGAUGCUGAAGCUCCAAUACGUCAGCCACCUGGUAAGAAGAAAUAACUCAUUGGAAAAGAACCUGAUGUUGUGGAAGAUUGAAGUCAGAAGAAGAGGGCAGCAGAGGAUGAAGUGAUUAGAUACCAUCACCGACUCAAUGGACAUGAAUUUGAGCAAACUCAGGGAGAUAGUGCAGGACCGGGGAGGCUGGCAUCCUGCAAUCCAUGGGGUCACAAAGUGUUGGCUAGGACUUAGCAACUAAACAACAUGCUCCUCAGUCUUUUUUAUCCAAGUUUUCUAGAGUCUCCUGACAGCAGGGGAACAGAAGAGCUGAAUAUGUGAUGAGAGUUGGUUAAGACACAAGAUCCAGGAGUUGUGAACUUGAAAAAAAAUACAACCUUGAGUCUAGUUCUAUGGAAACCACAGAGAGAAGCCCCAAAUGGCAGGGGACUGCCGGUUCUAACUAGUGGAAGAAAACUUACAGCAGCUAUGGUGGAAUGAGAACAGCAUGCACUCUGGAUACUCCAAGUUCAAAUCUCAACUUCAAGGUCAUUGGCUGCAUGGCCUUAGGCAAGGAUUCUUCCAAUGGGUAACCUUGCUCAGGGACUCCUUAAUGGUCUGGCCAGAACUUCACUGUUGGUACUCUUUAGCCUUAAUCCUCUUUUCUACCCUCUUCUUUCUCAGGUGUCAGCCCUGUAUUGAGGUCUGAGGUCUCAAUCUGCUCUCUGCUGCUCCUUCCUUCUUUAUCCUUCCCAGUUGUUUCUUCCAACAAAUCUCUUGUGUACAUCUAAUCCCAUCUUGGUGUCUUAUUCUCAGAGAACCUGAACUGACCCAGGUGGUGCCGGAAGUGAUCUGAGAAAGCUGGGGAUGGGCACAAUCACUACCUAGCUGAUAAUGGGAAUCUCAUCCUGAGUGGGACAUGAGAUGUGAAUAGUCCCUGGCAGAAGCUGGUGGCCCAACUGUUGAAGAUUCAUCGUGGUAACCUGAGAAAAUGUCUUGAUGGAGAAGGAUGCCCUUGCUAGUGUAAUAAUCCAGGCACUUCAAAGAUAUGGGGGAACCAAUACCUAUAAGGACAGCAGAGUUGGCUAGAUACCAACAAGUUGUACUGAUAUCCUGCUGGGGAUGAAGAGAAACUAAAAGCGGCCAACAAAUAGCUAAAGUUGAGUGUGAGAGUCAGAGGGACUAUAUGCAGAGGAAAAACGGACAAUGAUACUCAGAGUUUUGCCCUAAGCCUAUAUUAACUCUUUCCCUCUGUAAUAAUACAGUCUAAGGAGAGCUGGACUCUGGGGAUAUCCUACUGAAUGUUACGC